UCCGGCGUAGCUCAGGUGUAGAGCGCAGCCUCGCCAAGGUUGAAGUCGUGGGUUCGAAUCCCAUCGCCCGCUCCA
Molecule: transfer RNA, 75 nt
Filed under: Magnetovibrio sp.
Lineage: Bacteria; Pseudomonadati; Pseudomonadota; Alphaproteobacteria; Rhodospirillales; Magnetovibrionaceae
Description: tRNA-Gly
Rfam family: tRNA
About the family: Transfer RNA (tRNA) molecules are approximately 80 nucleotides in length. Their secondary structure includes four short double-helical elements and three loops (D, anti-codon, and T loops). Further hydrogen bonds mediate the characteristic L-shaped molecular structure. tRNAs have two regions of fundamental functional importance: the anti-codon, which is responsible for specific mRNA codon recognition, and the 3' end, to which the tRNAs corresponding amino acid is attached (by aminoacyl-tRNA synthetases). tRNAs cope with the degeneracy of the genetic code in two manners: having more than one tRNA (with a specific anti-codon) for a particular amino acid; and 'wobble' base-pairing, i.e. permitting non-standard base-pairing at the 3rd anti-codon position.
Source: RNAcentral